GCCGGUGUAGCUCAGUUGGCAGAGCGGGGGUUUUGUAAACCCCAGGUCGGGAGUUCGAAUCUCCCCGCCGGCU
This 73-nucleotide transfer RNA is filed under the name Planctomycetota bacterium. Its description in RNAcentral is "tRNA-Thr". It matches the Rfam family "tRNA". From Rfam's summary of the family: Transfer RNA (tRNA) molecules are approximately 80 nucleotides in length. Their secondary structure includes four short double-helical elements and three loops (D, anti-codon, and T loops). Further hydrogen bonds mediate the characteristic L-shaped molecular structure. tRNAs have two regions of fundamental functional importance: the anti-codon, which is responsible for specific mRNA codon recognition, and the 3' end, to which the tRNAs corresponding amino acid is attached (by aminoacyl-tRNA synthetases). tRNAs cope with the degeneracy of the genetic code in two manners: having more than one tRNA (with a specific anti-codon) for a particular amino acid; and 'wobble' base-pairing, i.e. permitting non-standard base-pairing at the 3rd anti-codon position. Lineage: Bacteria; Pseudomonadati; Planctomycetota. The record is from RNAcentral.